GAUGAACGCUAGCGGCAGGCCUAACACAUGCAAGUCGAGGGGUAACAUAGGAAAGCUUGCUUUUCUGAUGACGACCGGCGCACGGGUGCGUAACGCGUAUACAACCUACCUUUUAGCGGGGAAUAGCCCAGGGGAACUUGGAUUAAUGCCCCAUAGUAUAUAGACUUCUCCUGAAGUUUAUAUUAAACAUUUAUGGCUAUUAGAUGGGUAUGCGUCCUAUUAGUUAGUUGGUAAGGUAACGGCUUACCAAGGCAGCGAUAGGUAGGGGUCCUGAGAGGGAGAUCCCCACACUGGUACUGAGACACGGACCAGACUCCUACGGGAGGCAGCAGUGAGGAAUAUUGGACAAUGGGCGAGAGCCUGAUCCAGCCAUGCCGCGUGCAGGAAGACUGCCCUAUGGGUUGUAAACUGCUUUUACAGAGGAAGAACCACCCCCACGUGUGGGGGUUUGACGGUACUCUGCGAAUAAGGAUCGGCUAACUCCGUG
This 487-nucleotide ribosomal RNA is filed under the name uncultured bacterium. RNAcentral's name for it is "bacterial SSU rRNA". It matches the Rfam family "Bacterial small subunit ribosomal RNA", at positions 28 to 507 of the family's 1533-position model. The record is from RNAcentral.